RNAcentral lists this ribosomal RNA (476 nucleotides) under uncultured soil bacterium. RNAcentral's name for it is "bacterial SSU rRNA". It matches the Rfam family "Bacterial small subunit ribosomal RNA", at positions 55 to 549 of the family's 1533-position model. The record is from RNAcentral.
AUGCAAGUCGAACGCUUUUGGGGGUUCGCCCUCAAGGGAGUGGCGCACGGGUGAGUAGCGCGUGGGAACCUGCCCAGUCGUGGGGGAUAACCGCGGGAAACUGCGGCUAAUACCGCAUACGCGGGCUGGUCUAGAGAUAGAUUGGCCGGGAAAGAUUUAUCGCGAUUGGAGGGGCCCGCGUCGGAUUAGCUUGUUGGUGGGGUAACGGCCUACCAAGGCAGUGAUCCGUAGCUGGUCUGAGAGGAUGAUCAGCCACACUGGGACUGAGACACGGCCCAGACUCCUACGGGAGGCAGCAGUGGGGAAUAUUGGACAAUGGGCGAAAGCCUGAUCCAGCAAUGCCGCGUGAGUGAGGAAGGCCUUAGGGUUGUAAAGCUCUUUCGCGCGCGACGAUGAUGACGGUAGCGCGAGAAGAAGUCCCGGCUAACUUCGUGCCAGCAGCCGCGGUAAUACGAAGGGGGCGAGCGUUGUUCGGA